RNAcentral lists this transfer RNA (63 nucleotides) under Bactericera cockerelli (potato/tomato psyllid). Its description in RNAcentral is "tRNA-Leu". Lineage: Eukaryota; Metazoa; Arthropoda; Insecta; Hemiptera; Triozidae. The record is from RNAcentral.
GUCUAUUUUGGCAGACAAAUGUGGUAAGUUUAGGAUUUAUUUAUGUAAUUUUUACAAAUAGGA